UGGCUCAGGACGAACGCUGGCGGCAAGCCUAACACAUGCAAGUCGAACGGACAAUUAUUUAUAGCUUUUGGCUAUAGGCAAUUGUUAGUGGCAGACGGGUGAGUAAUGCGUAGGAAUCUACCUAGUAGUACGGAAUAGCCAUUAGAAAUGAUGGGUAAUACUGUAUAAUCCCCGAGGGGGAAAGAUUUAUCGCUAUUAGAUGAGCCUACGUUAGAUUAGCUAGUUGGUAAGGUAAUGGCUUACCAAGGCUAUGAUCUAUAGCUGGUCUGAGAGGACGAUCAGCCACACUGGAACUGAGAUACGGUCCAGACUCCUACGGGAGGCAGCAGUGGGGAAUAUUGGACAAUGGGCGAAAGCCUGAUCCAGCUAUGCCGCGUGAGUGAAGAAGGCCUUCGGGUUGUAAAACUCUUUCAAUAGGGAAGAUAAUGACGGUACCUAUAGAAGAAGUCCCGGCAAACUCUGUGCCAGCAGCCGCGGUAAUACGGAGGGGGCAAGCGUUGUUCGGAAUUAUUGGGCGUAAAGGGCACGUAGGUGGACUAGUAAGUUAAAAGUGAAAUACCAAAGCUUAACUUUGGAGCGGCUUUUAAUACUGCUAGACUAGAGGUCGAAAGAG
This 613-nucleotide ribosomal RNA is filed under the name uncultured Ehrlichia sp. Its description in RNAcentral is "bacterial SSU rRNA". It matches the Rfam family "Bacterial small subunit ribosomal RNA", at positions 20 to 656 of the family's 1533-position model. Lineage: Bacteria; Pseudomonadati; Pseudomonadota; Alphaproteobacteria; Rickettsiales; Anaplasmataceae. The record is from RNAcentral.